GGGCAUCUCCAAAGACCAAAGUUUAGGAUAAGGUACAUAACUUUGGAAGAUCUUCGAGUACUUAAAGUUGGAUUCUUCAAAGGUACUAACCUUUCCUACGCUGCUUGCAUGGCCAGAGAUGCUCGGCUUGCCUAAAUAGCCAAUCAAAACUUCUGUUUGACAUCGUACACACGGACGUUGUUUUAAUUCCAAGAAACAAGACGAGGUUAAGACAAUUUCCCUCAUUUCAAGCAAGGUCGGGAAAUUCUUAAUGGUGAAUACUACAGCAUGUUGAUGUUGGGGGUAACAAAC
RNAcentral lists this long non-coding RNA (291 nucleotides) under Manihot esculenta (cassava). RNAcentral describes it as "long non-coding RNA (MESC_LNC003608)". Lineage: Eukaryota; Viridiplantae; Streptophyta; Magnoliopsida; Malpighiales; Euphorbiaceae. The record is from RNAcentral.